GAUGAAGAACGUAGCGAAAUGCGAUAAGCAAUGUGAAUUGCAGAAUUCAGUGAAUCAUCGAAUCUUUGAACGCACAUUGCGCCCCUUGGUAUUCCGAGGGGCAUGCCUGUUCGAGCGUCAUUAUAACCCCUCAAGCUCAGCUUGGUGUUGGGGCCUGCCGCACGGGCAGCCCUUAAAAUCAGUGGCGGUGCCAUCUGGCUCUAAGCGUAGUAAUUCUUCUCGCUAUAGAGUCCCGGUGGAUGCUUGCCAUUAACCCCCAAUUUUCUAUGGUUGACCUCGGAUCAGGUAGGGAUACCCGCUGAACUUAAGCAUAUCAAUAAGCGGAGGA
This 328-nucleotide unclassified non-coding RNA is filed under the name soil metagenome. RNAcentral's name for it is "partial contains 5.8S ribosomal RNA, internal transcribed spacer 2, and large subunit ribosomal RNA". The stretch from base 1 to 120 matches the Rfam family "5.8S ribosomal RNA", at positions 35 to 154 of the family's 154-position model. The record is from RNAcentral.